This 73-nucleotide transfer RNA is filed under the name Bavayia sauvagii. RNAcentral's name for it is "tRNA-Trp". It matches the Rfam family "tRNA". Rfam says of the family: Transfer RNA (tRNA) molecules are approximately 80 nucleotides in length. Their secondary structure includes four short double-helical elements and three loops (D, anti-codon, and T loops). The record is from RNAcentral. Lineage: Eukaryota; Metazoa; Chordata; Lepidosauria; Squamata; Diplodactylidae.
AGAAACUUAGGUUAGAAAUAAACCAAGGGCCUUCAAAGCCCUAAACAGAGGACAAAUAUCCCUCUAGUUUCUG